CUUCCAAAGAUUAGAGAAAUUGUCCAAUGUUCAAAAAGUGAGCUCCUCUCUCUGAUGAACAAUACCUAAUAACUUAAGCUCCUGGGUAAAGAUUGGGUCAGGUAUGUUAGGUGCUUAUUUAUGGUGAAUUCACAUGGAUCUGGAGCAAUCUACUGGAACAGAUAGAUAGGGAAAAAUGCCAAGCAUGAAAGUUAAUAAAGAAGAAAGAUGAAUGCUCCCUGAUGAUAAAUGCUAGGUUCUAAUAAAUUACAAUGCAGAAAAAUAUAUGAUAGCUCAGCUAGUGUUAAAAUUGAAGACCAACAACUCAAAUAUUUAACACAAAAGUCACUCAAUCAUGUAACCUUCCAGCAACCAUUCAUUAGUUGCAACUAAGCAUAAAAGUGGAAGGAGAAGAGAAUACAACUCAAACACAAACUUCUUAAGGACUCUCAUAACUAAAGUUAUAAGUUCUUCCACCAUCCAAUAAAUUUGCUGUAAACCAUACUACUGAAUAUCUUUUGCCAAAGAGAAUCAUGUUCCAACCACCCUCAUUUCCUUUUUUGUUUACAGACAUAAUCACAGCCAACCAGAAGAUCUCCCAAUUACUCAAGUGAAAUUUUGUAGAAAAUCAUGGAAGAUUAGAAACAUAGUCUAAGCUACCUUCACUUGAAUCGCCAACAACAAGAAAUAGAAGGGAAAAGUAUAGGUCACUUAAAUCAUGGAGGCACAACGCCAGUUUCAUCGCCAAAUGACUGAACCCAGUUUAAAGUUUUUCGUACUAGCAUUGGGCAUGCAUCAUUUCAUAUUGUUUAUAGCAUUAAAAAUGCGUUGGCUUAUUUAUAUUUUUGCAUAGGGCACAACUAUCAAAAAAAGAUAAAGAUCAUAAUGAGCAUAUUAAAGAUAAAAAUCAUAAUAAGCAUAUUAUCUAACCCACGCAAUAUUAUUCUGCUUGUUAAUAUUAUGUAAAACUGAUACUCUUGUGUUUUUGCCCAUUGACUUUCCAACUAGAAGAAUGAAUUAGAAAGGGGGUAAUCAACCUACACAUACAAAUUACAACAUAAGAUACUCUGAUUGCUUAUGUUGUUAAAUCUAUUUGUCCCAAAAAAAGGAAGCAUAAGACCAUCACACAUAUGCUAGAUUUCCUAAUGAAGGUUACAAAUAACAAACAAAUGCAUUCAUUUUUAAGAUCUAGUUUAUAAAAACCCAAGCACAAGUGAAGAAGGAAAAAAAAAAUUGCAAAUGCCUAAGAAUGGAGUGAUUUUCAGUACUUCCAAGAACUACAGCUGUAUAGACAGUAAGUAAGUGAUUUAAAAUGGAAAAAGAAGAUAUGAAGAAAAAGAGAAUAUGCAAUUCAGUUUAUGCUUGUCAAUGGAAAUAAUGCAAGCAUGUUGAAGAUUGAUGGUAUUCGAUAAAACUAUGAAAUUCAUGAAACAGCGGUUCCCAUUCUUUCUCAUUUCAUUGAGUUUUCUUAGAUCAGCGCAAGCGUGAAGUCAAUGACCAUGAUCCCGUAGAUAUUCUGUAAUUUCCUCUUGCUUCUGUAACUUAUUCAGGACUUGAUAUUAGUUAGAUGAAAUAUGUUGUGUUAUGUUAUUUGAUAAAAAUCUCGUAUGCAUCCAGAAUGUUAAUCACUGGAAAACAG
RNAcentral lists this long non-coding RNA (1618 nucleotides) under Olea europaea subsp. europaea. The record is from RNAcentral. Lineage: Eukaryota; Viridiplantae; Streptophyta; Magnoliopsida; Lamiales; Oleaceae.